CAGAGAAGUGACGGUGGAUGCGAGCGGAGCAGAGGAAAAGGUGGAGCUCCCUGGUGACUGUGUUUGAUUGACAGGCCUGCUGACUGCCUGCUGCAUCGCUGAUGACGUUCAGUGAGCCGCAUCCCAACUUUCACCGACAGCCUCGACUCACCGUGACGCCGCCGAACUGAGAAAUCCGCCUACAAAUCAAACCCAGACCUGAGCGAGUCUUUACACAAGCUGUGGAAAAAGGGAAACUUGGCUUCAUCUGUGCUCCGGUGUGAUUACAGGCUCAGCGCAGCCAGACAGCAUGUCAGCCUGUGGCCUGGCCUCCUUUUUUUUUUGGCUCACCAGCGUUCGAUGGAGAGGUAAUUGGGAGGAGAGGCGGAGGUGGAUCCACGGCUUAACCUGAGCGAGGCGGUAAUGAGUGCCGGCUGCCGAGAGGCCUCGCCUGAGGGCCAGCAGGCAGCUUAUCAGCCUGCUGGGCGUCAUUCAAAAAUGCUAUUUAUGCCUUUUUGCACUAAAAUAACUGCUAUCUGAGAGCUAUUAUUUCACUCCACAUUUUCUAAAAGGGGUGAUAGGUGAUGUUUUUUACUGCUCUGUAGCAUUAAAUGACCAUGUGGUUGUCAAGGUAAUGUGGAGGGGUUUUUUUUGCUCUUAUGAGUUAUUUCUACAUA
Molecule: long non-coding RNA, 656 nt
Organism: Thunnus maccoyii (southern bluefin tuna)
Lineage: Eukaryota; Metazoa; Chordata; Actinopteri; Scombriformes; Scombridae
Exons: 3
Source: RefSeq, a predicted model, not a curated record